ACCAGUGUGGCAUAGUGGUUUGAGUCUCAGACUAUGACUCUAGAGACUGGGGUUUGAAUCCCUUCAGUCAUG
Molecule: non-coding RNA, 72 nt
Organism: Phrynosoma platyrhinos (Desert horned lizard)
Lineage: Eukaryota; Metazoa; Chordata; Lepidosauria; Squamata; Phrynosomatidae
Source: the annotation of a GenBank genome assembly